GAUGAACGCUGGCGGCGUGCCUAAUACAUGCAAGUCGAGCGAACAGACGAGGAGCUUGCUCCUCUGACGUUAGCGGCGGACGGGUGAGUAACACGUGGAUAACCUACCUAUAAGACUGGGAUAACUUCGGGAAACCGGAGCUAAUACCGGAUAAUAUAUUGAACCGCAUGGUUCAAUAGUGAAAGACGGUUUUGCUGUCACUUAUAGAUGGAUCCGCGCCGCAUUAGCUAGUUGGUAAGGUAACGGCUUACCAAGGCAACGAUGCGUAGCCGACCUCAGAGGGUGAUCGGCCACCCUGGAACGUGGACACGGUCCAGACUCCUACGGGAGGCCGCAGUAGGGAAUCGUCCGCAAUGGGCGAAAGCCUUACGGAGCAACGCCGCGUGAGUGAUGAAGGUCUUCGGAUCGUAAAACUCUGUUAUUAGUGAAGAACAAAUGUGUAAGUAACUAUGCACGUCUUGACGGUACCUAAUCAGAAAGCCCCGGCUAACUACGUG
RNAcentral lists this ribosomal RNA (497 nucleotides) under uncultured bacterium. RNAcentral's name for it is "partial 16S ribosomal RNA". It matches the Rfam family "Bacterial small subunit ribosomal RNA", at positions 28 to 507 of the family's 1533-position model. The record is from RNAcentral.